Molecule: ribosomal RNA, 466 nt
Filed under: uncultured bacterium
Lineage: Bacteria
Description: bacterial SSU rRNA
Rfam family: Bacterial small subunit ribosomal RNA
Source: RNAcentral
CCUANGGGAGGCUGCAGUGAGGAAUCUUGCGCAAUGGGGGAAACCCUGACGCAGCAACGCCGCGUGAGUGAGGAAGGUUUUCGGAUCGUAAAACUCUGUCGGGUGGAAAGAAGUGUAUGGGGGUGAAUAGCUCUCAUACUUGACGGUACCACCAAAGGAAGCACCGGCUAACUCCGUGCCAGCAGCCGCGGUAAUACGGGGGGUGCAAGCGUUGUUCGGAAUUAUUGGGCGUAAAGAGCGUGUAGGCGGCCUGAUAAGUCGGAUGUGAAAGCCCUGGGCUCAACCCAGGAAGUGCAUUUGAAACUGUCAGGCUUGAGUAGGGGAGAGGGAAGUGGAAUUCCUGGUGUAGAGGUGAAAUUCGUAGAUAUCAGGAGGAACACCGGUGGCGAAGGCGACUUCCUGGCCCUAUACUGACGCUGAGACGCGAGAGCGUGGGUAGCAAACAGGAUUAGAUACCCCGNUANUC